This 384-nucleotide ribosomal RNA is filed under the name uncultured soil bacterium. RNAcentral's name for it is "bacterial SSU rRNA". It matches the Rfam family "Bacterial small subunit ribosomal RNA", at positions 26 to 387 of the family's 1533-position model. The record is from RNAcentral.
AGAUUGAACGCUGGCGGCAUGCCUUACACAUGCAAGUCGAACGGCAGCGCGGGGCAACCUGGCGGCGAGUGGCGAACGGGUGAGUAAUAUAUCGGAACGUACCCUGGAGUGGGGGAUAACGUAGCGAAAGUUACGCUAAUACCGCAUACGAUCUAAGGAUGAAAGUGGGGGAUCGCAAGACCUCAUGCUCCUGGAGCGCCGAUAUCUGAUUAGCUAGUUGGUGGGUAAAGGCCUACCAAGGCAGUCGAUCAGUAGCUGGUCUGAGAGGACGACCAGCCACACGUGGAACUGACGACGACGGUCCAGACUCCGUACGGGGAGCAGCAGUCGGGGUAAUUUGGACAAGUGGGGACGAAAGGCCUAGACUCCGAGACAAGUGCCCGU